UUCGCAGCAACUCCUAUCCCUACCUCCUCGCGGUACUGGCCAGAGUACGAGUAACCUUAGGGAAGAUCCCAACCCCGGUGGGAACUUUGGUCGUAUGCCAACAAGGAAGG
RNAcentral lists this ribozyme (110 nucleotides) under Aedes aegypti (yellow fever mosquito). RNAcentral's name for it is "drz-agam-1 ribozyme". It matches the Rfam family "drz-agam-1 ribozyme". Lineage: Eukaryota; Metazoa; Arthropoda; Insecta; Diptera; Culicidae. The record is from Rfam by way of RNAcentral.